RNAcentral lists this ribosomal RNA (900 nucleotides) under uncultured bacterium. RNAcentral's name for it is "bacterial SSU rRNA". It matches the Rfam family "Bacterial small subunit ribosomal RNA", at positions 28 to 916 of the family's 1533-position model. The record is from RNAcentral.
AACGAACGCUGGCGGCGUGGCUAAGACAUGCAAGUCGAACGGACUGGUCAAUUUAUUGAGCAGUUAGUGGCGAAAGGGUGAGUAAUGGAUAGGUAACGUACCUUGUGCUCUGGAAUAGCGUCGUUCGUCUUCGGGCGAACUACCGAAAGGGAUGGUAAUACCGGAUAAUAACAUUUGUCGAUGGGCGAAUGUUCAAAGAUUUAUCGGCGCAGGAGCGGCCUAUCUCCUAUCAGCUUGUUGGUGAGGUAAUGGCUCACCAAGGCAGCGACGGGUAGCGGGACUGAGAGGUUGACCCGCCACAUCGGGACUGAGACACUGCCCGGACCUCCACGGAGGGCUGCAGUAACGAAUAUUGCGCAAUGGGCGAAAGCCUGACGCAGCGACGCCGCGUGUAGGAAGAAGUCUUUCGGGAUGUAAACUACUGUCAGGGGUAAGAAAGUCCGCUCCGGCGGAUUGAUCUAACCCAGAGGAAGUCACGGCUAACUUCGUGCCAGCAGCCGCGGUAAGACGAAGGUGGCGAGCGUUGUUCGGUGUCACUGGGCUUAAAGAGUGCGUAGGCGGAAAAGUAGGCGUCCUGUGAAAGCCCUCGGCUUAACCGAGGAAUCGCUCGGCGAACUGCUUUUCUUGAGGCAAGUAGGGGUGCAUGGAACUCUUGGUGGAGCGGUGGAAUGCGUAGAUAUCAAGAGGAACGCCAGUGGUGAAAACGGUGCACUGGGCUUGUCCUGACGCUGAGACACGAAAGCGUGGGGAGCGAACGGGAUUAGAUACCCCGGUAGCCCACGCUGUAAACAAUGCCUACUAGGUUGUGGUGGUUCUGACACCAGCACGGCCGAAGCAAAAGUGUUAAGUAGACCGCCUGGGGAGUACGGUCGCAAGGCUAAAACUCAAAGGAAUUGACGG